RNAcentral lists this ribosomal RNA (447 nucleotides) under uncultured bacterium. RNAcentral describes it as "bacterial SSU rRNA". It matches the Rfam family "Bacterial small subunit ribosomal RNA", at positions 330 to 793 of the family's 1533-position model. The record is from RNAcentral.
CUGUGACUCCUACGGGAGGCAGCAGUGGGGAAUAUUGCACAAUGGGCGCAAGCCUGAUGCAGCAACGCCGUGUGAGUGAAGAAGGUUUCGGAUCGUAAAACUCUGUCCUAAGGGAAGAAACAAAUGACGGUACCUUAGGAGGAAGCCCCGGCUAACUACGUGCCAGCAGCCGCGGUAAUACGUAGGGGGCAAGCGUUAUCCGGAAUCACUGGGCGUAAAGGGUGCGUAGGCGGCUUAGCAAGCCAGGGGUGAAAGGCAUUGGCUCAACCAAUGUAAGCCUUUGGAACUGUUAAGCUUGAGUGCAGGAGAGGUAAGUGGAAUUCCUAGUGUAGAGGUGAAAUUCGUAGAUAUUAGGAGGAACACCAGUGGCGAAGGCGACUUACUGGACUGUAACUGACGCUGAUGCACGAAAGCGUGGGUAGCGAACAGGAUUAGAUACCCUGGUAA